This 620-nucleotide ribosomal RNA is filed under the name uncultured Bacteroidota bacterium. Its description in RNAcentral is "bacterial SSU rRNA". It matches the Rfam family "Bacterial small subunit ribosomal RNA", at positions 70 to 687 of the family's 1533-position model. The record is from RNAcentral. Lineage: Bacteria; Pseudomonadati; Bacteroidota.
CAGCACGAUCUUCGGAUUGGUGGCGACCGGCGCACGGGUGCGUAACGCGUAUGCAACCUACCCACAACUGGGGGAUAGCCCGGAGAAAUUCGGAUUAAUACCCCAUAAUGCAGGGGUACCGCAUGGUACUAUUUGCUAAAGAUUUAUUGGUUGUGGAUGGGCAUGCGUCUGAUUAGUUAGUUGGUGAGGUAAUGGCUCACCAAGACAUCGAUCAGUAGGGGGUCUGAGAGGAUGAUCCCCCACACUGGCACUGAGAUACGGGCCAGACUCCUACGGGAGGCAGCAGUAGGGAAUAUUGGGCAAUGGGCGAGAGCCUGACCCAGCCAUGCCGCGUGAAGGAUGAAGGCCUUCUGGGUUGUAAACUUCUUUUAUACAGGAAGAAAAAGGUCAUGCGUGACCAAUUGACGGUACUGUAUGAAUAAGCACCGGCUAACUCCGUGCCAGCAGCCGCGGUAAUACGGAGGGUGCAAGCGUUGUCCGGAUUUAUUGGGUUUAAAGGGUGCGCAGGCGGUGCGUUAAGUCAGUGGUGAAAUCCCUCAGCUCAACUGAGGAACUGCCAUUGAUACUGGCGUACUUGAGUACGGACGAGGUAGGCGGAAUUUAUGGUGUAGCGGUGAAAU